UACGUAGGGGGCAAGCGUUGUCCGGAUUUAUUGGGCGUAAAGAGCGUGUAGGCGGCCAGGUAGGUCCGUUGUGAAAACUAGAGGCUCAACCUCUAGACGUCGAUGGAAACCAUCUGGCUAGAGUCCGGAAGAGGAGAGUGGAAUUCCUGGUGUAGCGGUGAAAUGCGCAGAUAUCAGGAAGAACACCGGUGGCGAAGGCGCCACUCUGGGCCGAAACUGACGCUGAGGAGCGAAAGCGCGGGGAGCGAACAGG
This 253-nucleotide ribosomal RNA is filed under the name uncultured bacterium. RNAcentral's name for it is "partial 16S ribosomal RNA". It matches the Rfam family "Bacterial small subunit ribosomal RNA", at positions 524 to 776 of the family's 1533-position model. The record is from RNAcentral.